This 264-nucleotide signal recognition particle RNA is filed under the name Chloroflexota bacterium. Its description in RNAcentral is "Chloroflexi bacterium (groundwater metagenome) signal recognition particle sRNA large type". It matches the Rfam family "Bacterial large signal recognition particle RNA". From Rfam's summary of the family: The signal recognition particle (SRP) is a universally conserved ribonucleoprotein involved in the co-translational targeting of proteins to membranes. Archaeal SRP consists of a 7S RNA and homologues of the eukaryotic SRP19 and SRP54 proteins. In most bacteria, the SRP consists of a 4.5S RNA and the Ffh protein (a homologue of the eukaryotic SRP54 protein). The record is from RNAcentral. Lineage: Bacteria; Bacillati; Chloroflexota.
UCGUGCUAGACGGGGAGCUAGCGGUGCCCUGCACCCGCAAUCCGCUAUAGCGGGGUCGAAUUCCCUCUCGAGGUCCGCCUGCUCGGGACCUGCCGCGAUCACGGGGCCAUGAAGGUUGGGUCCUGCGCGGCGGGUGCCUACGAACCCCGCCAGGUCCGGAAGGAAGCAACGGUAAGUAGUGCCACCUGGGCGCCGCAGGGGCACCUGACUGGAGCUACCAGGUCUCGGUAUGCCGCGCACGGUGGAUCGACAGAGGGUGCACGA